GGGCGUUUAGCUCAAUUGGUAGAGCACCUCGCUUACACCGAGGUGGUUACAGGUUCGAGUCCUGUAGCGCCCA
This 73-nucleotide transfer RNA is filed under the name Candidatus Sericytochromatia bacterium. It matches the Rfam family "tRNA". Rfam says of the family: Transfer RNA (tRNA) molecules are approximately 80 nucleotides in length. Their secondary structure includes four short double-helical elements and three loops (D, anti-codon, and T loops). The record is from Rfam by way of RNAcentral. Lineage: Bacteria; Bacillati; Candidatus Sericytochromatia.